UCAGAAAGUGGAAAUCCUUCAAUUGCAGCGGAGCUGAAGGAACAGAUUGGCAUCAAUUUGUAAAUGACAUUCUACUUCUGUUUGUUCAUACCAAUAAUUGACCUCUGUUGUUUCUGGUUGGAAAGGAAAGAAAGCAAGCCUUUGCUUGUGGGGCAGGAGGAGCAGUUACAUCUCAGCAGAAGGCUUCAUAUGGCCCUUUGGUAAUGUCCUGGACAGAUUUGACAGAGACUUUUUUUUCUGACUUUGCCAUUGAGAUCAUAUAUAUUUCAAACAGUUCUGAAGUUGUAAAACCCUGAGAGCUUGGGAGCUCUGCUGGCACAAGUCCUCAAAUGAAAAUCAGGAGCCCAAUCAGGCAAGUGCUUCUUGCUAUCAAACAAAGACUACUUGAUUUCCACGGCAAUUUUUUCAACCAUGACUGGAUCAGCGCCUUACACUCAGUUGACAAUAGAGGUGUUACCAUUUUAGAAUUUGUAGAUUAUGAGGUGCUGAUCGUGUCAGUUUAAGGAUGCUGUGUUGUUUCUUGUUUCUUUUCGCCCUGAUUUCAUUCAUUAUCCUAUCAAAGUUUUUGUUUCUUUUGCCUCUCUUUUUCAUUUAUGAAGUUGGGGUUUCUGCGAGUAUGUGACUAUUUGGAUGUAUUAUAGGAGGUGAUUUUACACGAGUGCAAUUAACAAUCUAUUUUUGUUGUGCUCUGAUUUUAGUAAGUAAUCUAUGUAUUAAUUAUUCAAAAA
This 728-nucleotide unclassified non-coding RNA is filed under the name Hevea brasiliensis (rubber tree). The record is from RNAcentral. Lineage: Eukaryota; Viridiplantae; Streptophyta; Magnoliopsida; Malpighiales; Euphorbiaceae.